GAGACCUCAGGUCAGGCGGGACUACCCGCUGAAUUUAAGCAUAUCAAUAAGCGGAGGAAAAGAAACUAACAAGGAUUC
Molecule: ribosomal RNA, 78 nt
Filed under: Medicago monantha
Lineage: Eukaryota; Viridiplantae; Streptophyta; Magnoliopsida; Fabales; Fabaceae
Also listed under: 1 other name
Description: partial large subunit ribosomal RNA
Rfam family: Eukaryotic large subunit ribosomal RNA
Source: RNAcentral